RNAcentral lists this long non-coding RNA (356 nucleotides) under Helianthus annuus (common sunflower). RNAcentral's name for it is "sRNA HanXRQr2_Chr05g0196681". The record is from RNAcentral. Lineage: Eukaryota; Viridiplantae; Streptophyta; Magnoliopsida; Asterales; Asteraceae.
CCUUUUCUUCCUCGCAAUCUCUAAUGGAGUUUCUUCUUGAAUGACCAAUACAUUCUUCUAUUCGAAUCUCAAGUUAAAAAAAUAUUUUGGCAGAUUACUCAACAUCUUUUGGUUAUACAGUUUGAGUGAAUGAGAAAUUUUACAACUUGACUGCUGGUUAGAAGAGACUUGUGAAGGAUCUUGAUAUCGGUUUUAAAGGCUUUUUGGUAUUUCAGUUGCUUGAAAAUCGCCUUCAAAUCAUUAAUUUGAAAGUUGAUCAGUCCAUUUAAGUUACUAAUUUAUUCUAUCAUAAUUACCUUCAAGUAGAAAACAAUAUUAUGGUACCAAUGUUGAAUGUUGGAUUUCCAUAAUAUUAG